AUACGUAGGGGGCGAGCGUUGUCCGGAAUGAUUGGGCGUAAAGGGCGCGUAGGCGGCCCGGUAAGUCUGGAGUGAAAGUCCUGUUUUUAAGAUGGGAAUUGCUUUGGAUACUGUCGGGCUUGAGUGCAGGAGAGGUAAGUGGAAUUCCCAGUGUAUCGGUGUAAUGGGUAGAGAUUGGGAGGAACACCAGUGGCGAAGGCUACUUACUGGACUGUAACUGACGCUGAGGCGCGAAAGUGUGGGGAGCAAACAGGAUUAGAUACCCUGGUAGUCCACACUGUAAACGAUGAAUGCUAGGUGUAGGGGGUAUCGACCCCUUCUGUGCCGCAGUCAACACAAUAAGCAUUCCGCCUGGGGAGUACGGCCGCAAGGUUGAAACUCAAAUGAAUUGACGGGG
RNAcentral lists this ribosomal RNA (397 nucleotides) under uncultured bacterium. RNAcentral's name for it is "partial 16S ribosomal RNA". It matches the Rfam family "Bacterial small subunit ribosomal RNA", at positions 523 to 918 of the family's 1533-position model. The record is from RNAcentral.